ACUAUUUUGGCAGAUUAAUGCGUUGAACUUAGAAUUCAUUUAUGUAAAUUUAUUACAAAUAGUA
This 64-nucleotide transfer RNA is filed under the name Petamella prosternalis. Its description in RNAcentral is "tRNA-Leu". It matches the Rfam family "tRNA". Rfam says of the family: Transfer RNA (tRNA) molecules are approximately 80 nucleotides in length. Their secondary structure includes four short double-helical elements and three loops (D, anti-codon, and T loops). Lineage: Eukaryota; Metazoa; Arthropoda; Insecta; Orthoptera; Acrididae. The record is from RNAcentral.